Molecule: non-coding RNA, 615 nt
Organism: Biomphalaria pfeifferi
Lineage: Eukaryota; Metazoa; Mollusca; Gastropoda; Planorbidae
Source: the annotation of a GenBank genome assembly
GUUUACAAUUUUAGAGUUUAAUCCAUAGAGUAUAGAAUUAGUUUCAAAUUGUUGACACAGAAAUCAAACAAUGCAACAAACGGAAGAACAUAAUAAAAAGACAAAAAAAAACUUCAUUUAAAAUGUUUACAAUAAUAAUUAUGUUACAAAACAACAUGUGUCUAAAUAUGUUCACUUCCGUGUUGUUCAUUUUAGUUGUAACAAGUCGUUUAUAAAGAAUGUCUAUAAGGCACUUAUGCAUAGCAGAAGUAUACAAACAUUACAGAAGCAGCAAACAUUUGAAAACGAUGUUUAAACAAGUAAAAACAUUAAAAAUACUUUUUUUAAAAAGAUAAUACCUCCUUUAUACAAACUUAUAGAGCGAUUGUUUUUCCCCAGAUCUAAUACACUUUAUAAUAUUUCAAUGAUAGCCCUUUAGAUAUAGACUUACAAGACGAUGCGCAAAUGUUUUACUGAACAUUAAUUUAUUAAACCUUUGAAUCAAUAAUGCUCUAAAUUCGGUAAUUUCCGAACGCGAUAGUCCUCUCAAGAACCGAUGUUGGAUCUACAUCUAGAUCUACUUUUCUGUCAAAAUUUAAAUUUAAUUUUGUCUUUUUUUUUUUUUUUUUUUUUUUU